AUUAAGCCAUGCAUGUCUAAGUAUAAACGAUUUAAUCGUGAAACCGCGAAUGGCUCAUUAUAACAGCUAUAAUUUACUUGAUCUUGACACAAUCCUACUUGGAUAACUGUGGUAAUUCUAGAGCUAAUACAUGCAUUAAAGCUCUGACCUCACGGGAAGAGUGCAUUUAUUAGAACAAAACCAAGCGGCUUCGGCUGUUUCUGGUUGACUCAUAGUAACUGAGCUGAUCGCAUGGUCUUGCACCGGCGACGUGUCUUUCAAGUAUCUGCCGUAUCAACUUUCGAUGGUAGUGUAUCUGACUACCAUGGUGAUCACGCGUAACGGAGAAUAAGGGUUCGGCUCCGGAGAGUUCGCCUGAGAAAUCGCGAACACAUCUAAGGAAGGCAGCAGGCGCGAAAAUUACCCACUCUCAGCACGAGGAGGUAGUGACGAAAAAUAACGAGACCGUUCUCUUAUGAGGCCGGUCAUCGGAAUGGGUACAAUUUAAACCCUAAACGAGU
This 500-nucleotide ribosomal RNA is filed under the name Acrobeloides sp. Sourhope farm. RNAcentral describes it as "SSU rRNA". It matches the Rfam family "Eukaryotic small subunit ribosomal RNA", at positions 43 to 542 of the family's 1831-position model. Lineage: Eukaryota; Metazoa; Nematoda; Chromadorea; Rhabditida; Cephalobidae. The record is from RNAcentral.